RNAcentral lists this ribosomal RNA (253 nucleotides) under uncultured bacterium. RNAcentral describes it as "partial 16S ribosomal RNA". It matches the Rfam family "Bacterial small subunit ribosomal RNA", at positions 524 to 776 of the family's 1533-position model. The record is from RNAcentral.
UACAGAGGGUGCGAGCGUUGUUCGGAAUUACUGGGCGUAAAGCGCACGCAGGUGGCUGAGUCAGUCGAUUGUGAAAGCCCUGGGCUUAACCUGGGAAUUGCAGUCGAUACUACUCGGCUCGAGUAUGGGAGAGGGCAGUGGAAUUCCCGGUGUAGCGGUGAAAUGCGUAGAUAUCGGGAGGAACAUCAGUGGCGAAGGCGGCUGCCUGGCCCAAUACUGACACUCAGGUGCGACAGCGUGGGGAGCAAACAGG